GUGGGGGAUAUUGCGCAAUGGGCGAAAGCCUGACGCAGCGACGCCGCGUGGGUGAUGAAGGCCUUCGGGUCGUAAAGCCCUGUCGAGGGGAACGAAACGGUCUCGACCCAAUACGUCGAGGCCCUGACGGUACCCCUAAAGGAAGCACCGGCUAACUCCGUGCCAGCAGCCGCGGUAAUACGGAGGGUGCAAGCGUUGUUCGGAAUCACUGGGCGUAAAGGGCGUGUAGGCGGUCCGCUAAGUCUGAUGUGAAAGCCCGGGGCUCACCCCCGGAAGGGCAUUGGAAACUGGCGGACUCGAGUCCCGGAGAGGAAGGUGGAAUUCCUGGUGUAGCGGUGAAAUGCGUAGAUAUCAGGAGGAAUACCGGUGGCGAAGGCGGCCUUCUGGACGGUGACUGACGCUGAGACGCGAAAGCGUGGGGAGCAAACAGGAUUAGAAACCCUUGUAGUCC
RNAcentral lists this ribosomal RNA (451 nucleotides) under uncultured bacterium. RNAcentral describes it as "bacterial SSU rRNA". It matches the Rfam family "Bacterial small subunit ribosomal RNA", at positions 354 to 796 of the family's 1533-position model. The record is from RNAcentral.